CCCACACAUGGUGUUAAACGACAAAACAUUCUUGCAUUUUUAAUAUAUAAUCCAUGUCUUCAUCUGUUGGGGUGGCAAUAUAGAUCUCAAAGUUUGUUCGUACAGUGCCAAAAGAUGAGUGGAAUGACAUCAACUUCACUGAUUUAUAUCUUCUAUAUUUCAAAUGAAAGUGGUCAUGUGGACAAAGCCCCUAGCCAACUUCAUGAAAAAGAGAAUGGAUCUAUGCCGACACUGAAAUAAUCAUAAUGGUAUGGAUCAGUAAUCCUAUAAUUAUGAUACAACACGUGUUUUUGAGAUCAAUAUAAUGCAAGAGGGAACGCCAUAUUAACUUUUCAUGAACUGGCAGGCAUGCCACAAUUUUGGAGCAAUGGUGCAGACACCAACCUGAUGCUGAAGACUAUGGGAGCGAUGCCGCUCCACUAUCUGAAGGGAAAUUUCUGAGGGAGCAUGGGAAGUUGCCGAGAGGCAGCGACCUCGUCGCCUCUGGGCAGCAGGGAGGUGGUGGAGGUCGUCCUCAAGGAGACAGAGUCGUGGAGGU
Molecule: long non-coding RNA, 538 nt
Filed under: Triticum aestivum (bread wheat)
Lineage: Eukaryota; Viridiplantae; Streptophyta; Magnoliopsida; Poales; Poaceae
Description: long non-coding RNA (TAES_LNC014485)
Source: RNAcentral